GACCAUUCUUGUGCAGCCCAGCAUCAUCAAAAGACUGCAUGCAUAUGACUGCCUUUCCCAACAAGAGAGAUUUUCUAGGACAUGGAUUGUUCUUCUUAAUAUGCAAAUAUGCUUGACUCUCACUUAAAAAAUAAUACCCUGUCUUAUUUGGGUAGGCAAACUAGAUUGUAACAAGCAGAAGACUACCAUUGACAAUAGGUAGAAAAUCUAGGAAAACCUACAAAUAUAUCACAAGCUAUCAUCAGAGAAUCACAGAAGACAAUGGGAGACCAAGAUUGUAAACAUGGGCGAAUCUUUAAGAAAUGAGACAAGAAUCUGCUGCUGCUGUUCUUCUGGGGCUUCUGUCAAUUCCAGGCAUUUGUUGUAG
This 367-nucleotide long non-coding RNA is filed under the name Homo sapiens (human). Its description in RNAcentral is "HSALNT0133447". The record is from RNAcentral. Lineage: Eukaryota; Metazoa; Chordata; Mammalia; Primates; Hominidae.